UUCUGGAAUUGAAGAUGCGUUUGGUUGCUCCUCUUCCCUUCGUUCCGUUGAAUGUUGUUCUGGUUCUUUCUGAUUUUCCUCAACUUCAGUAACCACAGGUUCACCUUUUACUGUUUCUGUAGGCUCAACUUCAGUAGCCACAGGUUCUUCUUUUACCGUUUCUGUAGCUUGAACUUCAGUAGCCACAGGUUCUUCUUUUACCAUUUCUCUAGGAUCAACUUCAGUAACCACAGGUUUGACUUUUACUGAUUCUGUCAGAUCAACUUCAGUAACCAGGGGUUCUUUUACUGUUUUUGUAAUUUCAACUUCUGUAGCCACAGCUUCUUCUUUUACUGUCUCUGUAGGAUCAACUUCAGUAACUAUAGGUUCGUCUUUUACCGUUUCUGUUGCCUCGAAUUCAGUAGCUGCAGGUUCAUCUUUUACCAUUUCUGUAGGCUCAACUACAGUUGUCACAGGUUCUUCUUUUACGGUUUCUGUAGCUUCAACUUCAGUAGCCACAGAUUCUUCUUUUACUGUUUCUGUAGCUUCAACUUCAGUAGCCACUGGUUCUUCUUUUACUGUUUCUGUAGCUUCAACUUCAGUAGCCACUGGUUCUUCUUUUACUGUUUCUGUAGCUUCAACUUCAGUAGCUGCAGGUUCGUCUUUUACCGUUUCUGUAGCCUCAACUUCAGUUGCCACAGGUUCUUCUUUUACCGUUUCUGUAGGCUCAACUUCAGUAGCCACGGGUUCUUCUUUUACUGUUUCUGUAGCUUCAGCUUCAGUAGCUAGAGGUUCUUCUUUUACCGUUUCUGUAGGAUCAACUUCAGUAACCACAGGUUCGUCUUUUACGGUUUCUGUAACCUUAACUUCAGUAGCUGCAGGUUCUUCUUUUACUGUUUCCGUAGCCUCAACUUCAGUAGCCACAAGUUCUUCUUUUAGUGUUUCUGUAGCCUCAACUUCAGUAACCACGGGUUCUUCUUUUACUAUCUCUGCA
Molecule: long non-coding RNA, 973 nt
Filed under: Medicago truncatula (barrel medic)
Lineage: Eukaryota; Viridiplantae; Streptophyta; Magnoliopsida; Fabales; Fabaceae
Description: long non-coding RNA (MTRU_LNC006373)
Source: RNAcentral